CCUCUGACUGGUUUGGUCCUGUCACCUAGAUCUCAGACAGUGCAUUCAGCAGAAACAGGAUUGAAGUGAGGAACCCAGCUCCGUGCCACUGUUUCCUCAUGUGUAAAAUGAUUCAUACUGUUUAUCUCAUUGCGUUGUUGUAGGGAAAGGUGAGUUAGGACAGGCUUGGCAUGUCAGAAAUGCUCCAUAAAUGUUAGCUGUGAUCAUCAACAUCACGGAUUCUUGACAUCUGUGGUUAUAAUGUACCCCAGAUCCUUUUCCAGUUUCCUAAAUGACCAACAAAGAAUGCAUAUGCUGGCUCCUGAGUUUCUCCAAAUGACAUGUUCCAUGUUGAAUGCAGUAUUUCCUGUGUACAUCAUCACACUGCAAGUCAACCAACUAUUCGGCUUAGCUUUCACCAUGGGGGUGAGUAUGUGGUGGCCAGAAUUCACUGAGAUGCAGUAUUUUUAUUACCCCAUGAGUUUGUCACUGACUCAGUUGUAAGCAGAGACCAACCCAACCACAUGAAUGAGCAGUCCCUGGGUCCCCUCCACCCCCUGCAAAAGCCCUGCAGAGCUGAGAACUUUGCCCAGAGCCCCAGCAGUGGACAUGACUCAAAUCUGUGGCCCAGCAAAGCUGUCAGUUCUCAUGCUAUGGGGUCAUUUCAUCUGGAACUGUUUAAACCAAGUAAGUUGGCACCAUAACUGUCAGAGAGCCAUUAUGAUUUUGCCCAAGAUGUGUUUCAGAGGAUGCUAGUUCCAGUGAAUGUUUACAGCUGCUGAGUCUUUGCUGGGCUCUCAAGGAAGUUUGAGGAACCUUGGCAUUUUAAGCAAGUUCCUUUUCUGAGGACAUCUGCAUCUUUCACAAGCCAACUUUGAGUUUGCAAGGGAGGAACAGGUCUCCCAGUGCACGUGGGCAAAUGUCUUCAGGACAAUCCUAGAGCCUAAAGGCGUUAUUAUCUCCGUUUAAGACUCCUUUUAAAAGAUGAAGAAACUGGGAAUCUGAGCAGUAAGGCAGUGACCUCCUGGGAACUUAAAAACCAGGAGAGGUGCCAAAGAGCCAGGAGACUGCAAUCCCUGUGGUCCUGAAUUUUAAAAUGCUGAAGGUGAACUCAUAAACGACAGCAGGUGCAGACAAGGAUCUAGAAGCCCUGGACAUCCACGGUCCCAAGAGAGCUGAGGAAAGCAGAAGUAAAAAAAAAGUCUGCAUCUAACACACAGCUAGCCUAACAGAGAGUCCAGCCUCACCAAAAAGAGAAGUCCUCCCCCAGCCCCCCACCCCGGGAAGAAGUGAAGGAGGGGGAGAAAGAUGGGCACAAGCUAACUCCUGUGGACUAAAAAAGAUGCACAACGUGAAGGCUGCAAGAGAAACAGGUGUUCGGAAAGUAAGAAGACCGUUGGGGGAAGGCAGGGUCUUGGAACCUGGAGACAUGCUGGGUGCAGAGACUGGAGGCCCAUCCUUUGCAUCUCCUCCCUAGACCAGCUGUAGGAGGAGUGUUGGACCCCAAACAGAAGAGUGCACACCUCUGAGAUGAAAAGCAUUUCUGGAGCCCCCAGACCCAGAGUGGUAGGAGGAAGAGUGUAUGGAGUGUUAGAAGCGGGACUGUUUUCCUCUCUCAGGCCCUGGGCCCCAGAUCUAGAACUGUGACCUCCCAGCUCAUGGUCAAGUUGUCCUUGAAGGUACGGUCCAGGUCUAGCGGGCUGGAAGAUCCUCUGGAAGCAGUGAUUCAGGAAACACGGCUCCAUCUAUCCUGUGGUUCUACAACCUUCAGUGCAUGGUACUCAGAGUGAACUUGGGGGUUCUCUCCCUUUCAGUCCAGAAGAGAGAGAGAGUGAAAUAGACCUGGAAGUGUCAUCUUCCAGUGAUGACUUUCAUGCAUGACGUUCUGCCUGGAACUCAGUCAUACAGUGCCAGCUAAUAUAAUAGAGGCCAGGGAGUGGAGUCCAGCUAUGUGGACAGGAAGAAGAGGUCCUCUAGUCCCUGCUACUUGUUACCUGUGGUGUUGGUACAAAUCCUAUCUAUUCUACCUCUAAAAAUUUUUCUCUCUUCUCUAUUUACAGUAUAGAGAAGAUUUAAAAUUUCUAUCCUUUCAUAAGCCUUUCAACUUCUUUUUUCUGUUUUUAUCUUCCCAAUUUCCUUUAAAUAGUUGCCAUGUCUAAUAUAACUUAGACAUAAUCAUAUUACUCUCCUUACCCCAAAGUAUCCAUAUCCUCUACACCUAUGCUCAUAGAAUAAAGCACAAACUCUUUAGCCUGGUACAAAAGUUCUGCUCACCAAGUGCACACAUACAAUUCACACACAAAUGAAUUCUGUUUCCUAUGCCCUGUUCUUUCCUUUUCCAUGUAGUGCAUGUGAUGGUCCUUCAGCCUUCUCUGUCUCUUAAAACCAUACUCACAUGUCCUACCCUCCAUGAAACUGUCCUCAAGUUGCCUGGUUGAAAUUCUUUCUUCCAGUGUUCUCAUGCAUGCUGCCUGCUCAGUCGCUUCAGUCAUAUCCAAUUCUUUUGCGACCUUAUGUUCUGUCCAUGGGAUUCUCCAUGCAAGAAUACUGGAGUUGGUUGCUAUGCCUUCCUCUGGGGGUCUUCCCAACCCAGGGAUCCGAACUUGCAUCUCCUGUGUCUCCUGCAUUGCAGGUGGAUUCUUUACCCACUGAGCCAUCUGGAAAGCCCAGUGUUCUCAUAGCCCUUUGUUAACCUCUGCAUUUGAUUCUUAAUGUUGUCACUAUGUUAUGUUAACAGUAUUCUCACAUUUUGUGGUCAAGGACAUAUGUGUAUCAGCAAAGAGCAGAACCAAUUGGAAAUUUACAAAUAUUCACAUGUGUCCAUGUUAUACAGGAAAACAAAAGUAGCAUUCUUUGAGUCUUGUCAAUUUAAAACUUUAUCAAGUCAGUUUCUUCUUGUGGUCUUUAUGAGUCAGAAGGAAGCAUCACUCCCACUGUUGGUGCAAGAGAAGGGAAACCUCUUCUCACUCUUUUCUAAGAAUACUUUGAUUAAUUGUAAAGAUUUCAUGGUUUAAUACACAACUUAGUGACUGAACAGCAAUGACAUGUUUUAAGGCCAGUCUCUGUAAUUUCAUUAAUUAAUCUUAAAAUUUAAAAGCAGGCUUGUAAGUAUAGGAUGGAAAGGGAGAAAGAGAAGAAUAACUUGAUAGUGAAGAAAGCAGACAAACCUCUCCACCAGGUGAUCAAGGAUAAUAUCCGCAGUGGUGAGUCAUGCUGAUGGUGUGCCCUUGGUGUGGUAUGAUGAGAAUGAUACUGUGCCUCUGCGGUCCUCCUCCCAAAACAUUACCCAGUCUGAUUAGGAGAAAAACAUCAGACAAGCCCCACUUGAGAGAUAUUGUACAAAAUAUCUCACCAGUAAUCUUCAAAACUGUCAAGGUCAUCAGAAAUAGGGAAAAUCUGAGAAACUUUGUCACAACCAAGAGUAAACCAAGGAGACAUGAUAACUAAAUAUAAUGUGUUAAAUGGAAUAGGAUCCUGAGAUACAGGAAGGGCAUUAGGAAGGAAAAUGAGGCCAUCUUAAUUAAAAAAUGAACUUGAGUUAAUAAUCACAUAUCAAUAUCAGUUCUUUAUUGUGACCGAUGUACCAUGAUAAUGUAAGAUGGUGAUAAUAGAGGAAACUGGCUGUGGGACAUAUGGGAAGUGUUCACACUGUCUAUGAUGAUUAAUUUUAUGUGUCAACCUGGCUAGACCAUGGUACCCAGUUAUUUGGUCAAACACAACUCUAAAUGCUUCUAUAAAGAUUUUUUUUAGGUGUAAUUAACAUUAAAUCAGUAAACUUUGAGUAAAGCAUAUUACUCUUCAUCACGUGGGAAGGUCUUUCCAAUCAGUUGAAGUUGUUAAAAGACGGAAGUCCUCUUAGUUGAAACUGGGAUGAAGUAUGGUCUUGAGUUCAUAGUCAUGUAUUAACAUUGGUUCAUUAAUUGUGACAAAUGUACCAUACAAAUAUGUUAAUAACAGGGGAAACUGGCUGUGGGCUGUAUGGGAACUCUCUUUACUAUCUUUGUGAUAAUUCUGUGAGCCUAAAACUGUUAUAAUAUUUUAAAAUCCUUAAAAAAAAAUCAGACUUGCAGAAUUCAACUUAACUGGCAGAAGUAUGAUUUUGUGUUUAAAACAGUGAAACAAGGAACAUAUAUCAUUGUGUUCCACAAUAGCAUUCUGAGUCCUGCUAAAUUGACACAAUGGGGUAAAAACUUAUUUCUCUUUAUUAACUUGUACAAAGAAAUGCUUUUGUUCAGCCAAUGAGUGUUUUACAGUUAAACACUGUACGUGGGAGAAAAUCAAAAGGGAAUGCAUUGUAAAACUAAACUCCUUUACUUAAAAGGGGCCUAAAAUGUGUUUCUUGUUUUUAAUGGGGAUAAUUAUUUUCAGUCUUUAAUAAUCAUUCCUCUUUCUAGGCAGCUCUUGCUGCCACUUUAAUAGAACACAGUGGCACAGAGAGAACUGGGAACAGGGGCAAGGGAGAUUUUGGACAGAAAGGUCUUUGCUCUGUCUGACAGGUAACACUCAGAACACUGGGGAAGUUGAAAUGAAGCCAUUCAUUCAGAACUAUGUCUUGUUUGCCUUCUAUACACCAGGGUGUGAGGGCUGGGAAGACCCAGAGGAAUCGGGUGGAGAGGGAGGUGGGAGCGGGGAUCAGGAUGGGGAAUACAUGUAAAUCCAUGGCUGAUUCAUGUCAAUGUAUGACAAAAACCACU
Molecule: long non-coding RNA, 4673 nt
Organism: Cervus elaphus (red deer)
Lineage: Eukaryota; Metazoa; Chordata; Mammalia; Artiodactyla; Cervidae
Exons: 8
Source: RefSeq, a predicted model, not a curated record